AACCUAUUAGCUCAAAUGGUAGAGCAAUGUGCAAUUGCACAUGGAUGUAUGUUGGUUCAAAUCCUACAUAGGUCA
Molecule: transfer RNA, 75 nt
Filed under: Spinacia oleracea (spinach)
Lineage: Eukaryota; Viridiplantae; Streptophyta; Magnoliopsida; Caryophyllales; Amaranthaceae
Rfam family: tRNA
About the family: Transfer RNA (tRNA) molecules are approximately 80 nucleotides in length. Their secondary structure includes four short double-helical elements and three loops (D, anti-codon, and T loops).
Source: Rfam by way of RNAcentral